Molecule: transfer RNA, 67 nt
Filed under: Hallella faecis
Lineage: Bacteria; Pseudomonadati; Bacteroidota; Bacteroidia; Bacteroidales; Prevotellaceae
Also listed under: 1 other name
Rfam family: tRNA
About the family: Transfer RNA (tRNA) molecules are approximately 80 nucleotides in length. Their secondary structure includes four short double-helical elements and three loops (D, anti-codon, and T loops).
Source: RNAcentral
GGUGUAGUUCAGUUGGUUAGAGCGUCAGAUUGUGGUUCUGAAUGUCGUGGGUUCGAGUCCCACCAUC